UUCAUUUAAGGUUUAUUCUGCUCAAUGAUAUCUAAUUAUUAAAUAGCCGCAGUAAACUGACUGUGCAAAGGUAGCAUAAUAAAUUGGCCUUUAAUUGGGGUCUAGAAUGAAAGGUGUUUAUACGCGAAUUCUGUCUUAAUUAUAUUUUUUAUAACUUACUGAGUAGGUGAAAAUUCCUACAGAUUUUAAUGAAAGACGAGAAGACCCUUAGAAUUUUUAAUAAUUUUAUCUAUAUUAUAAAAUCUUUUUUGUUGGGGCGACAUAUUAUCAAUAGUAACAUAAUUUUUUACUUAUUUACCUGACAUUAUUUAAAUUGUAUGAUAAAAUUACCUGAGGGAUAACAGCAUAAUAAUGAAUAUUCAGUGUUUAUGACCUCGAUGUUGGACUAGGAAAGAAUAUGGCUAGCAGUCAUAUUUAAUUGGUUCUGUUCGAACUAGAACUCCU
This 444-nucleotide ribosomal RNA is filed under the name Discus marmorensis. RNAcentral describes it as "partial large subunit ribosomal RNA". Lineage: Eukaryota; Metazoa; Mollusca; Gastropoda; Stylommatophora; Endodontidae. The record is from RNAcentral.